Syngnathus acus (greater pipefish) is the source of this 1672-nucleotide RNA transcript. It is a transcript of the gene named TSEN2 tRNA splicing endonuclease subunit, with no coding region annotated. The transcript is spliced from 12 exons. The record is from RefSeq and is a predicted model, not a curated record. NCBI's taxonomy places the organism in Eukaryota, Metazoa, Chordata, Actinopteri, Syngnathiformes, Syngnathidae.
UGAUUUCUUCGGUUUUAGCCGAGCUUUUAUUUUGGUGAUUUUUUUCCCUCUCCCCCAAAGCUAGCGGCCAGUUUGCUAGCACGGGAGCCAACGUUUGGUCGUUUCUGGUCGCUAAACUGAACUGCGUCCGAUUGGCCGGCGGCAUGUUUCAGGCUGAUUUUCGGCCGCCCCGGGGGCGCUGCCGGGUGGACGAAGAUUACGUGGCGCCGCUCCCCGUGAGCCGAAGCUCGUCGCAGACGACAGGAGUGACAAGCCCGACGACGACGAGCCGCUUCCGGGCGGACCUCGUCAACCGACACGUGCUGGUCACCGAGCCCGAGCAUAUCCGCGACCUUCACAAUCAGGGCUAUUUUGGGAAAGGCGUCCUGUCCAGAGCCAGACCGGAGCACGGCGUCUCCGACCGGUGGCAGCAACAUGAGGGCUUCCUACUUCCGGUGGUCACGCAGGCCAGGUACGAGGAGCUGCUCGGGCGGGCCGAGUCCUCACUCCUGGCUCAGGGCUUGGCUCAAGUGGUCGUCAAUCAAACGCUGCUAUGGCUGCGUCAGCCCAUCCGAGCGGACGUGCUGAGGCGGGAGGCGGAGGACGGGGAGGCGGCCCGAUCGGACACGCUGGCCAACCUCCGUUCCGAACCGGGUGGGAGCAUGCUGCGUGAGCUUGGCCCAGCCUCGAGCCCAGACCUCAGACCUGACCGAGGAGCUAACUCUGAGCCAGAUGAUGCUCCUUUAGUUCCGGGGCCCGGUUUUGUUAUCAUUGAUGCCGGGCACGUUGCCGCACAGCUCAGACGAAAUCCUUUACGGAUGACAGAAUUCCUGGAACUCGGCCUGGAGGAGGCUUUCUUCCUGGUCUACAGCCUGGGCUGCCUGUCUGUCCACGAGCAGCAGCAGAUGGCGGUGCUGCCUGACAAGGCGCCCCCCCAGAUGGAGCUGGAUGAAUUGGUGGCUUUAAUUCUUAUUGCAGAGUACUGUUGUUUUGACGGUCCACCCCUGGCAUCUACAACAUAUUCUUGGGGCGCCGCUGUCAAUCACCGAGCUGUGGAGGCACUUGGUGGCUUUGCGCCCAGACUUUGUCAGCUCCUACGCGGCCUACCAUCACUUUCGCAGCAGGGGCUGGGUCCCCAAAGGAGGAAGCGGCGCCAAGUACGGCGUGGACAUGCUCUUGUACAGGAAAGGUCCGUCCUUCUACCACGCCAGCUAUUCGGUGAUGGUGGAAAAAGUGGACGAACGUUUUCAGGGUUCAGCGCUGCGUGCCUUUUCCUGGCGUUCUCUGGCGACUUUGAGCAGGAUCACCGCAAAUGUCUCCAAGGAGCUGCUACUGUGUUACGUGAUCCAUCCAGCUGACCUGUCAGAAGCUGAGCUGGACUCGCCCGCCUGUCUGAGCAAGCUGAAGGUUCAGAACAUCAUGGUCAGCAGGUGGGUUUCCUCCAAAGAACGUGCUGAGCAAGAAGACGUCUGAUUGGCUGGCAGCAGAGGGGGCGCGGUCCACAAAGUAGCACAACCUGGACAUGAAGUUAGGAUAGUCAUACGGUGCAUUUCAGUAAGAAGACGCCACCACAUUUGAGGAAAAUGUCACAUUGUGCGUUCCAGGUCUUAAUGUUGCUUUCUUCGUGCUGUGUAGUUGCUUUAUUUUGUACAGUAAAUAAAUCAUGUUGUGAGUUUAUUGGUCAAACUGAAAA